RNAcentral lists this ribosomal RNA (234 nucleotides) under uncultured bacterium. RNAcentral's name for it is "partial 16S ribosomal RNA". It matches the Rfam family "Bacterial small subunit ribosomal RNA", at positions 104 to 334 of the family's 1533-position model. The record is from RNAcentral.
CGGGGUGAGUAACGCGUGAGCAAUCUGCCUUUAAGAGGGGGAUAACAGUCGGAAACGGCUGCUAAUACCGCAUAAAGCAUUAAAUUCGCAUGUUUUUGGUGCCAAAGGAGCAAUCCGCUUUUAGAUGAGCUCGCGUCUGAUUAGCUGGUUGGCGGGGUAACGGCCCACCAAGGCGACGAUCAGUAGCCGGACUGAGAGGUUGAACGGCCACAUUGGGACUGAGACACGGCCCAG